UACAGAGGGUGCAAGCGUUAAUCGGAAUUACUGGGCGUAAAGCGCGCGUAGGUGGUUCGUUAAGUUGGAUGUGAAAUCCCCGGGCUCAACCUGGGAACUGCAUCCAAAACUGGCGAGCUAGAGUAGGGCAGAGGGUGGUGGAAUUUCCUGUGUAGCGGUGAAAUGCGUAGAUAUAGGAAGGAACACCAGUGGCGAAGGCGACCACCUGGACUGAUACUGACACUGAGGUGCGAAAGCGUGGGGAGCAAACAGG
RNAcentral lists this ribosomal RNA (253 nucleotides) under uncultured bacterium. Its description in RNAcentral is "partial 16S ribosomal RNA". It matches the Rfam family "Bacterial small subunit ribosomal RNA", at positions 524 to 776 of the family's 1533-position model. The record is from RNAcentral.